Non-coding RNA from Pelobates cultripes (western spadefoot toad), 243 nucleotides. Lineage: Eukaryota; Metazoa; Chordata; Amphibia; Anura; Pelobatidae. The record is from the annotation of a GenBank genome assembly.
CCAGACACUACAACCACUUCAAAGAGAUAAGUCAGUUACAAUGUCUACAGUGUCCCUUUAAAUACAUAUUUUUAAACAUAUCUAAUAAACAAAUAUUUAAAUUCUAAUGGGGGAGGGAAUAUCCACUCCCAGAUGAUCAGCAAUCCAGUUAUUUUACAUAUAAGGCCAAGUAAAUAUUGCCAUAGACAGGGAGGGCAGUAAUAUUAAAAUAAAUAUCUUUCUUCCCUAUGCAUUUUCUAACAU